UGAGGAGGAGCCGGAGACGCCGCGGAGGAGACCGGACCGAAGACCGACCGUGCCGGGGAGAGGUGAGCCCCGGCCCCGCCGCCGACCCGUCCGGGCCGGCCCCAAGCUUCGGCGGUGACGGCGUCCCCGCGGCCGGGGCGGCGGGGAGAGCCGCGUACUAACGCUGCUGGGCCUCCCGCUGCGCGGGGGCGGCGGCGGGAGGGGGCCCCCGUGGCUUAGGGGCGACGGGGACCCGGGCAGUGUUCUCGCGGUGGCUCCGCGGAGAGCAAGACCCGGGCGGGAGGUCGGUAGAUAGGGGGCUCCGGGGGCUGUGGAAGCCGGGACGCGCGCGGUACCAGGCUCUGCAAGCCUCACUCUGUGGGGAAUGGUCGCAAUCCGAGGGAGGGCAAGGGCCCUGCCGGGCGGUGCAGAGUUGAGAUGAGUGACCCUACUUCGACAGUGUGUCCUCGGAGUGAAUUUGCGAAAGGCAUGAAGAGGCGCCUCCGGACUCCUGGGAGGAAGGCCUUUAUAGGUGAAAUCGGAGAGUUGGGAUGUCAGGAGAGAGCUUCCUGGGCACGUCAUUGUUGCGGCGGGAUUUGAACCCCAGGGUCGUCGUGAGUGAAGGCAUUCCCGUGUCAGGAUAAAGACCCCGCGACCCGACAGAGCUACCUAGUUGUUAACGUUCAAGACAGCUUCCUGGAGUCAUGGGGAAAUUAGUGUUUUUCCUCCCUCAUUGUCACGGAGAUGGAAGCAGCCAGGAGAGGAAACUCCUGCCUCAGCUCUGGGGCCUUGUUAUUGUGUAUCUUGUCAGGAGGGUGAAAAUGAAAGCGGGCUGUAGCAUCGUGGAAAAGCCAGAAGGAGGUGGAGGUGAGCAGAAGUUAAUCAGUCAUUUUCUGAUGCACCUGGAAUGUCCCUCAGUGGUUCCUGUUCUCUUCACUUGGGCUUGGUUCACAAAUGCAAGACUGUGACUGACCACCUCUUGACAGGGUAGAUACUGCUAGGACAGUUGUAUGCUUUUUCCUAUGGAUGAAUAUUAAUAAAUGUGGUCACCACACCCUUAUUUCCAAGCAUUCGAGUCUCUUUCCUCUUAGAGAAACAAUUCCAACCUUGGGGAAAAGGUGCUGUUUUCUAAAACGUUGUCUUUCCUGUGUGUUCCCUUUGAAACUUCCAUGUCCUCACAGGAAGUAGGCAUGAGAUUUAGUAAAGUCUGAAAGGGGAAAAGAUUAGGACACCUGGCUGCUGCUAC
RNAcentral lists this long non-coding RNA (1225 nucleotides) under Moschus moschiferus (Siberian musk deer). Its description in RNAcentral is "lncRNA (ENSMMSG00000019839.1)". Lineage: Eukaryota; Metazoa; Chordata; Mammalia; Artiodactyla; Moschidae. The record is from RNAcentral.